This 570-nucleotide ribosomal RNA is filed under the name uncultured beta proteobacterium. RNAcentral describes it as "bacterial SSU rRNA". It matches the Rfam family "Bacterial small subunit ribosomal RNA", at positions 8 to 571 of the family's 1533-position model. Lineage: Bacteria; Pseudomonadati; Pseudomonadota; Betaproteobacteria. The record is from RNAcentral.
AGACUUUGAUCCUGGCUCAGAUUGAACGCUGGCGGAAUGCUUUACACAUGCAAGUCGAACGGCAGCACGGGUGCUUGCACCUGGUGGCGAGUGGCGAACGGGUGAGUAAUGCGUCGGAACGUACCGAGUAAUGGGGGAUAACGCAGCGAAAGUUGUGCUAAUACCGCAUACGCCCUGAGGGGGAAAGUGGGGGAUCGCAAGACCUCACGUUAUUCGAGCGGCCGACGUCUGAUUAGCUAGUUGGUGGGGUAAAGGCCUACCAAGGCGACGAUCAGUAGCGGGUCUGAGAGGAUGAUCCGCCACACUGGGACUGAGACACGGCCCAGACUCCUACGGGAGGCAGCAGUGGGGAAUUUUGGACAAUGGGGGCAACCCUGAUCCAGCCAUUCCGCGUGAGUGAAGAAGGCCUUCGGGUUGUAAAGCUCUUUCAGCUGGAAAGAAACGCUCUGGGAUAAUACCCCGGGGUAAUGACGGUACCAGCAGAAGAAGCACCGGCUAACUACGUGCCAGCAGCCGCGGUAAUACGUAGGGUGCGAGCGUUAAUCGGAAUUACUGGGCGUAAAGCGUGCG